Molecule: ribosomal RNA, 2123 nt
Filed under: freshwater metagenome
Description: bacterial LSU rRNA
Rfam family: Bacterial large subunit ribosomal RNA (bases 487-2123)
Source: RNAcentral
UUUAGAAGAUGCCGGUGUAGAUCGCGAUGCGCCAAUGGCUAGUGGUGGCCAUGCAUGUGGAAGCCACUGAUAUGGCAAAAACCCAUUUUGGUUUUCAGACCGUAGACGAAGCUGAAAAGGCGAGCAAAGUCGCAGAGGUCUUUCAUUCAGUCGCUAGUAAAUAUGACUUGAUGAAUGACCUGAUGUCUGGAGGCCUUCAUCGCAUUUGGAAACACUUCACCAUUUCAAAAGCAGCAGUUAGACCUGGUCAAAAAGUGCUGGAUAUCGCCGGUGGUACCGGUGACCUCACGAUGAGUUUUGCACGCCAGGUAGGGCCUGAAGAAAAAACUGGGGGUCAGGUUUGGUUGACAGAUAUCAAUGCAUCCAUGCUUUCUCAUGGGCGAGAUCGUCUGUUGGAUAAGGGUUUCAAGGUGCCAUGCGUGCAGGUUGAUGCUGAGCAAAUUCCUUUCCCCGGCUCUUAUUUUGAUUUAGUCACUGUGGCAUUUGGUCUGCGCAAUAUGACGCAUAAAGAUGUUGCUUUGACUGAAAUGUUGCGCGUGAUCAAGCCGGGUGGCAAGGUCAUGGUUCUAGAGUUUUCUAAACCGCAUGCAUCCAUCAAGUCGCUUUACGAUACUUAUUCAUUUAAGGUGCUGCCGUGGUUAGGUGAAAAAGUGGCUGGCGAUGCAGAGAGUUAUCGUUACCUCGCGGAGUCGAUUCGCAUGCACCCUGACCAAGAAACCUUAAAGGACAUGAUGUUGGGCGUUGGAUUUGAUAAGGUUGAAUACCACUCUUUAACUGGGGGUAUUGUGGCCUUGCAUAUAGGGUAUAAAUACUAAGUGUUGUAACACUGAAGAGGGAAAUAUGUUGAAAAAAAGUAUGGUUUAUUUGACCUUAGCGAUGUUCUUAACUGCAGGCUCUAUGUCUAAUGUGGAUGCUAAGCGUUUGGGUGGAUCAAAAAAUGUGGGUAAGCAAGCGCCGACAGCUACACAAAAACAAGCAGCUCCGACGCUGCGGAUGUAUACUUUGUAUACGUGGUAGGGGAGCGUUCUGUAAGCCGAUGAAGGUGUAUUGAGAAGUAUGCUGGAGGUAUCAGAAGUGCGAAUGCUGACGUGAGUAACGACAAAACGGGUGAAAAACCCGUUCGCUGAAAGACCAAGGGUUCCAGUCCAACGUUAAUCGGGGCUGGGUGAGUCGACCCCUAAGGCGAGGCCGAGAGGCGUAGUCGAUGGGAAAUUGGUUAAUAUUCCAAUACUUCAGUGUAAUGCGAUGAGAGGACGGAGAAGGUUAAGUCAGCCUGGCGUUGGUAGUCCAGGUGAAAGGAAGUAGGCAUGCAUCUUAGGCAAAUCCGGGGUGCUCUAUGCUGAGAUCUGAUAUCAAGCUGUACUUGUACAGUGAAGUGGCUGAUACCCUGCUUCCAGGAAAAGUCUCUAAGCUUCAGUUACACUGGAAUCGUACCCGAAACCGACACAGGUGGUCAGGUCGAGUAGACCAAAGCGCUUGAGAGAACUCUGCUGAAGGAACUAGGCAAAAUGGUACCGUAACUUCGGGAGAAGGUACGCUGUUGAUGGUGAUAGGACUUGCUCCUUGAGCUGUCGACAGCCUCAGAAACCAGGCCGCUGCAACUGUUUAUUAAAAACAUAGCACUCUGCAAACACGAAAGUGGACGUAUAGGGUGUGAUGCCUGCCCGGUGCUGGAAGGUUAAUUGAUGGGGUUAGCGUAAGCGAAGCUCUUGAUCGAAGCCCCAGUAAACGGCGGCCGUAACUAUAACGGUCCUAAGGUAGCGAAAUUCCUUGUCGGGUAAGUUCCGACCUGCACGAAUGGCAUAAUGAUGGCGGCGCUGUCUCCAGCAGAGGCUCAGUGAAAUCGAAUUCGCCGUGAAGAUGCGGUGUACCCGCGGCUAGACGGAAAGACCCCGUGAACCUUUACUGCAGCUUGACAUUGAACUUUGACCUUACUUGUGUAGGAUAGGUGGGAGGCUUUGAAACUUGGACGCUAGUCCGAGUGGAGCCGUCCUUGAAAUACCACCCUGGUAAUGUUGAGGUUCUAACUCUGUCCCGUUAUCCGGGACGAGGACCAUGUCUGGUGGGUAGUUUGACUGGGGCGGUCUCCUCCUCCGAAUAACAACAUAUCGUGACUGGGAAAC